CAACCCCUGAAAUUCCCUUCCAUUGGCAGCUUUUUGAAUUGAAAACCUGGUCUUCCACAUUGCUUUGCAGUUUCUCACCUUUUUGCAGGGCAGCAGGAUACAAGACGGAGCGGAGACUCUGGACAGAUCAGGAGAAGGACUACCCAUGCUGUUCCUGAGCACAUAUGGUAACAGUCAGCUAUCUGUGGAUCAGGGUCCAACACAGGAAACAGACGAGAUAUUGGAAACAGCUCUGUCCAGCCAUCUUGAAGGUAGUGCCAGAAUGGACAGUACCUGAUGCAGACCACUGGCCUCGCCUGGGUUGGUUUACCCAUGCACAAAUCAAUCUGCAUGGUUAUACCAGAAUAAGAUAUAGAAUCUCAUUACUUCAAAAAGUAUACCUUCCUUGUUAGAACUUCAGUUCUUUUCAUCUACCAUCAAAACAAAACAAGAAAAGACUUUGGAAUAUAUUCUGAAGGCCAUAGUAAGUAGCUCACACACAGUGAUAUCUUCAGAGUACUUGUUGAUGAUGUACAUAGUCAAAGCAGCCAUCUGACUGCCAGGGGGAAAAUGUCAUGUAAAAUUUAAAAUAUGACUGGCUGUGUGAAAUAUUGAUAGGAAAAUCUUUAACAAUGACUGUUGUGAAAUAUCUUCCUCAAUCAUGCAUAUUUAAUAAAGUAUAAUCACUUUUAGAAUAUUCUUUGGAU
Salvator merianae (Argentine black and white tegu) is the source of this 686-nucleotide long non-coding RNA. The record is from Ensembl. Lineage: Eukaryota; Metazoa; Chordata; Lepidosauria; Squamata; Teiidae.